CCCGCUAUGAACUUGGAUCCAAAUCCAGCUCCCCGGUGUGAACGCUAGGAAGAUGGAUUUGGGCCCAUCUCCAGUUAAUAGCGAAACUGGGAGAAAUCUUACUGUGAAAACUGGCGACUUCAUAAGCCUCAAGUGUUUGCUCAUCCAUGGAACCACAUGCCCUCCCUGUUAGGUCUGGGCUCUGCUGUCCACCAGGAGUAGCUCCUGUGGCUUCCAAACAUACUCCCUGCCUCUGUAGCAAGAGGAAGUGCUAGGUGAUGCUCUUACAAAGAGAGGCUAGGGGACUGGGGCUUGGGAUCAUGUCUUUCCAGCUGUGUGCACCUCCACUCUUCUCUUCAGCAUCUCAGACUUGGGAAGCUGGGCUCUUCCCCAGUGCUGUGAAAGUGUCUGUGGGAAAAUGUCUUCCGUUCCUUUAACUCGUCCUACUCGCUACCUGCCUGUAGGGCAGAUGAUCUGCUCUGCAGCCAGUGCCUCCAUUCUUGCUUCUGGUGGACGUUUCAUCUCCUUGCUUUCUUUCUUUCAGAGGAGUAAGAGGAAAGAGCGAGACUACCUGAAUAUCCGACACCCUCCUAUGGAUAAAGCCAGAGCCAAAGGACAGCCAGUCCCACCACACGUCUCUGCGGUCGAUGAUGACUCAGCCACCGUCUACGAGAACCUGAACAUCAAAAGCUCAAAGGUUUCAGGGAUUAAUAAUGCAGGGAGAUAAAGGGGCCGGAAGGGGAGCUGGCUGGAGGCUGCACAGGAUUUACAGUGUUUACGUCCACACUUUCCAAGUUCUGUCGCCGCUGCCUCCCUCUACCCUCGUGACCCCUCCCCACCCCUUCAAGCACCUUGGAUCCAGCGAGGAACCAAAAUGCCGAAAGCAUCUGAGCGAGGCAGAGUGCGCGCCUCAGGAACACGCCUCAAUCUAACUUAUUCACGGGAGUGACCUUUUCUGGUCCUUUUUCACAUAGGCCGAUAUUUAUGUGCAAGUGCCUCUGGAUGGUCAUAGGGCGUAAAAGCUCUGUUUUUAAUUUUUUUUGUUUAAAAGAAUUAAAUUAAUUUUUAAAGAAAUUGAUUUUGUAAAAAGUUAAAAUAAAGUGAUGUGUUUAGGAGCUUUGCCUGGUCAGGACAGUCACCGGCGUGUUGCUGCACUUCAUGGCUUCAUGAGGUCAGUCGUGUCUCAGCUAGAGGUGUUUAAACUGAAUCUUGGGUUAACUCUACUGCCAUGGAAGUGAUGGACUGGGCGUGUGGACUGGACCUAGGUACAGUGCAAAUAACCGCUGUGUAAAUGCCGCCUGCCAUCAUUCUUUUAGAAAAUGCACCUCCUUUCUGCUGUGCUAGGCUUGGGCACUUAUGCAAUUUGCCGAAGCACCUAGCGCCUGACCCUGGAGCAACCCCUGCUAUUGCAGCAUGCAGAGAAGCAGUGUGAUGCAGUGGACUUGUCUGUCUGGUAGCAAAAUCCCCAUGCUGCACGGUUACUAGAUUCUGACAUGCACAUGGGUGAGGAGGCAGUGUUCGAACCCUCAUCUCUGCCAACACAGGCCUCUGCUGCAGGAGCUAAGAGAUCUCCCAUAGCUGCUGGUAAAAGCAAUAGGGAGGCAACUUUAUCUGUGCUGUGGGCAACAUCACAUGUACCAUCAGCACAUUAGGGCAUAGAGUUCUGAGUUCUGUUCCUGACUCUGUUGCUGUCUUGCUGGAUGCCCUGUGUUCAUUCCCCCACGUUUGUAUGCUGAGCCUAAUGCUAUGUAUAUGAAAUAGGGGAGCUGCGGGCAGUGAUUAAUGUUUGUGCAGCACUGCGAAGAGGAAAAGAACACACUUUAGAAUGUCAAUAUUCCGGCUCUCUUUGCGCACCUCAGAUUUCACUGGCAGCACUUCCUGCUGUUGCAACCGCUCUGCCAAAGAAUCUCCUUUCUGCUGGACUCCUUGCUAUGCAAAAGAGCCCAGGGUCUGAAUGCCAGGGCCGAAACCAGGAGAGCUUGUCUUGGGCAGCUGUUAAUGGGGGAGGGGGAAAGAAACAUUCUUCUUUGUCUGUGUGGGGUAAUGGACGUGCUGGGCUGUGGCAUUAGCUCUCAGUGCUCGAGUUGCUGCUCUCCCCAGGCACUGCAGGGGCUGAACAAAGAGCACACCGAUGGAACGGGGCUGUGUUUACUGGUUGGCAUUGUCAGUCAUUUGUCACAGGGACAAGAAAACCGUUUAUUUUUAUGCACUUUUAAUAAAUGUUCAAUAUUCUAAAGGUUUGUUUUUAAGUUUGAAAUGCUUGUGAAAGUGACCGAUGGACAUUUGAAGGGGGGUAGGAUGCCAGCCGGUGCCAGGCUUCUCCUAGCCAAAAAAACCC
This 2317-nucleotide long non-coding RNA is filed under the name Gopherus evgoodei (Goodes thornscrub tortoise). Its description in RNAcentral is "lncRNA (ENSGEVG00005013049.1)". Lineage: Eukaryota; Metazoa; Chordata; Testudines; Testudinidae. The record is from RNAcentral.